UACAAGUCCUCAUAUCUGUAAUGCUGAAAAUGCCCUGUGGAAACAGCUGGGCAUCAUUAGAUGUAACCAUGCAUUUUACGAAAUGAUCUAGAAUGAAUUGGACAUAGCUAAUGAAAAGGUAACAAGCUAAUGCUCCAUUUCCUCUGGAACAGGAUAUGGAGCUCUAUAAAAGGUCCACCCCCCCAGUCGGCUUCAUUUAUCCUUCAAGUUCGUAAACUCACCAGUCUACCAACUACUGAACAAGCCUUAUCCUGCCUUCACAAUGAUGCCUAUGCUGGGAAACUUAAUGAUGGGAAGCGGAAUGAUGGGAGGCGGAAUGAUGGGAAACCCAAUGAUGGGAAACGGAAUGAUGGGAAAUGGAAGGGUUAUGUGUAUACCUAUCAACGGUGGCGGCGCGAACUUCAAUCCUUCUAGCAAUGGCCCAUGCAUCUACAUGGUUGGUGGAGGACGCCACUAACUCCUGCUGUUGAUGUUGUUAACUAAAGCUCCGGGAAAGAACCUCAAUGAGUAGCAACAUGGAUGUCCCACCAGGCAGAACUAUCUCGGUGUCAACGAUAUCUAUUUGAAGACCUGUCUGAUGACCUUUUUUCCUCCUCAUUGACCAGUCAAAACUAAAGCUUUGUGGUUGCCUCUUGAAAAAAUGCCUACCUUCUUUCUCCUCUUCAUUUUACUUUGAAAAUCUGAUUCCUAGAUGUCCCGAUAAACACAGAAAAAGGCCCGAUGGAUCGUGCUGAAAGCAUGGAUGCAGAUCUCCUUUUACGUCUCUAGGCUAUCACUGAAAAUCCCCCCCAUUCUUCUCACAAUAAAUGAAAUCAUAAGCA
Molecule: long non-coding RNA, 821 nt
Organism: Anolis carolinensis (green anole)
Lineage: Eukaryota; Metazoa; Chordata; Lepidosauria; Squamata; Anolidae
Exons: 2
Source: RefSeq, a predicted model, not a curated record